CAACUACAUUUAUUUCCACAAUUCCCCAUUUGAAUGGCCUUUUCUUUUUGCUUAGACAAUGCCUACACCUAGCCACAGCAGCUCCCUCAUACAGACUCCGCAAGCCAAGAGGCCGUGGAGGCAAAUGCAGGCAGCCAGCGCACCUCGAACAGCCACCUUGACUGUGGGUGUGUCACACUAGUUGCCAAGGAAACAUUUGAGGGAAAGCGACAGGCAAUGUGAACAGCCACUUCUCCAUGUAAACGAUACUCUUUCUCUCGGAUGACUCCUACGUUCGCCACGCCAGCACACUUGUGCACAAAGAUGCCGCGGAGGCACGUGCAGGUCAGAGGCAAGAAGCAGUGGCACUGGUGUCAACAUUCACCCAAUUUCUUUUUCUUACACUGAGGCAGCCAGCACACCUCGAACAGCCACCUUGACUGCGGGUGUGUCAGUAGAUUCCUGCUGUACAUAUGCUCAUAAUAAACUUCAGUAAACUUGAACUUGAUAACAAACUUGAAGGCAAAUGGGA
This 511-nucleotide long non-coding RNA is filed under the name Dermacentor andersoni. RNAcentral describes it as "uncharacterized LOC126536711". Lineage: Eukaryota; Metazoa; Arthropoda; Arachnida; Ixodida; Ixodidae. The record is from RNAcentral.